Suricata suricatta (meerkat) is the source of this 282-nucleotide long non-coding RNA. RefSeq lists it as uncharacterized. The record is from RefSeq and is a predicted model, not a curated record. The transcript has 3 exons. NCBI's taxonomy places the organism in Eukaryota, Metazoa, Chordata, Mammalia, Carnivora, Herpestidae.
UGGGAUCAGCAGGACUGAAACAAUUAAGAACCAGUAUGCUCUUAAGGUCUCUUUCCUGAGGAAGAAAACUUGGAGGCUACAUGGCUCCAGGGUGGAGGAGAGCUACCCAACCGCCAUCAAGACUGGGAACCUGCACUUUGAAUACAGCGCUCAAUGCUAAACAGCUUGCAGUUGGAUGAGGGAGGAUAUCAUGGGAGCUGGACUUUCUCUGAAGACUCGCUGUCUGGGGAUGCGCAGCAUGCGGUGAUGUUGUUCUCACAGAUGCUGUGCGAGCACUUUUAA